This 780-nucleotide ribosomal RNA is filed under the name uncultured Neocallimastigales. RNAcentral describes it as "partial large subunit ribosomal RNA". It matches the Rfam family "Eukaryotic large subunit ribosomal RNA", at positions 23 to 640 of the family's 3401-position model. Lineage: Eukaryota; Fungi; Neocallimastigomycota; Neocallimastigomycetes; Neocallimastigales. The record is from RNAcentral.
AGAGAGAGACAUGCGCGCAUAUCAAUAAGCGGAGGAAAAGAAACUAACAAGGAUUCCCUUAGUAACGGCGAGUGAAGCGGGAAGAGCUCAAAUUUGAAAUCUUCAAGGUUUUACCUUGACGAAUUGUAGUUUAAAGAAGUGUUUUCUGUUGAAGUUUUGGUAAAAGUUCUUUGGAAUAGGACAUCAUAGAGGGUGAGAAUCCCGUAUUUGACCGUUACUUUCCAGCUGUGUGAUACACUUUCAAAGAGUCGGAUUGUUUGGGAAUGCAGUCCAAAAUGGGUGGUAAAUUUCAUCUAAAGCUAAAUAUUGGCGAGAGCCCGAUAGCGAACAAGUACCGUGAGGGAAAGAUGAAAAGAACUUUGAAAGGAGAGUUAAACAGUACGUGAAAUUGUCAAAAGGGAAGCGUUUGACACCAGUGUUGUUUUUCCGAAAAUCAAUUACGAAUGUUUUGCUUUUAAGAAGUUAUGACUUCAUCGGCUUGCUUCUUUCUUUACGAAACUUUCUUAAUGCACUUUUCAGGUUAACAAGUCAACAUCAAUUUCUUUUGUUGUAAAAGGGUAAGAGGAAGGUGGCUUCAGCUUCGGCUGCAAGUGUUUAUAGCCUUUUAACCUCUGCAAUCGGAGAGAUUGAGGUACUGCAGCGUAGACUCUUCGGGGUUAGAUACAUUUGUGCUAAGUUAUAGUCCUUUCAUAGACAACUUGUUGACUAUGAUGCAUCAUGUAGCUUACUCGCUUAUGCUAUUUUACCUACGCUUAGGAUGUUGACAGCAGUAUAGACUGU